UUUGGAGGUUUCCUUCUUUUAGGCCUCCUGGGUAUGAUGCGUUUAGCUGGCCCCUUGCCUCGAGGUGGUCUGGUUACAAUCCUGGGAUUAGCAACAAGGGACCUCGGGUGCAGAUGGCUCGCCUGAAGAUCGACUUGUUACAGCCUCGGGAUUUCAUAUGGAUGCCCUAUAGCGCACUCGACGUCAUCCAGGUUGUCCAUCCGGAGGUCUUGGAGCCUCGGCAUACGAUGUUAUGGCGGUGUGUGACGUUCCUGAUAUAUUUUGCGGUUGUUGAGUGACAUCAGGUUGAUAGAGUGUUACCGCAGUUUGGCGGCGUACAGCCCCCACCACAUCCCCCCUGAACAUCGACUUCUUGAUGUCGAAGGACGGGAGAGGAGGUGACCGUUGGUUCCCGUCGCACUUACCUGACUGGCAUCUUCACUGGCAGAAUCGUGCGGAGCACAUUUUACAGUUCGACAUUGUGGCCGACCCUGGUCCCUCGC
Arachis ipaensis is the source of this 482-nucleotide non-coding RNA. NCBI's taxonomy places the organism in Eukaryota, Viridiplantae, Streptophyta, Magnoliopsida, Fabales, Fabaceae. The record is from RefSeq and is a predicted model, not a curated record.